This 72-nucleotide transfer RNA is filed under the name Bos taurus (domestic cattle). It matches the Rfam family "tRNA". Rfam says of the family: Transfer RNA (tRNA) molecules are approximately 80 nucleotides in length. The record is from Rfam by way of RNAcentral. Lineage: Eukaryota; Metazoa; Chordata; Mammalia; Artiodactyla; Bovidae. RNAcentral also lists the same sequence under 4 other names.
UCCCUGGUGGCUCAGACGGUAAAGCAUCUGCCUACAAUGCAGGAAACCUGGGUUCAAUCCCUGGGUUGGGAA